Long non-coding RNA from Arabidopsis lyrata subsp. lyrata, 803 nucleotides. RefSeq lists it as uncharacterized. The record is from RefSeq and is a predicted model, not a curated record. NCBI's taxonomy places the organism in Eukaryota, Viridiplantae, Streptophyta, Magnoliopsida, Brassicales, Brassicaceae. The transcript is spliced from 3 exons.
AUUAGAAGCAAGUAGCCAAUGUUAAAGUUGUUGUAUGAUUAUUAUUAUCCAUUUAACUGUUUUAAAAUGAUUUUUUUACUCCGUAUUAAACUGGGCCAUUUAGCUAUUAUAGUAGCCCAUUUAUAUGAAUUGAAUAAGUGUGCAUUAGGGUUUUGUCUUUUGCUGGUUUAGGAAAAUCUUAGUGGUAUAUAUUGGCAUAAAAGAGAAUUGUGUGGGAGUCCCUCUGUUGACUACACCGAAACCUAGGAUCGAUUAUCUGUUCUUUCAAGUUGGAGAAUCAAACUUGUUCGUGAUACUUGGGAUCCGGGUGUAGAGCGAGACAUCAAGAAUUUUUGGGGCGUUACAGUGGCAGACAGGACGAGAAAUGGUUCUCGCGGUCUCGUAUCCAGAUUUGACUUAGUAAUUGUCUGACUUUGUCAUGGUCGAACUGUAUCCAUCACUCGAGACAUUACGGCUCGGUUUUAUCCCUAGUAUAAGGGUAAUCUCUUCUCAGGGUAACAAUUCCCAAAGACGGUCCAUUUUUCACUGCUUCAUCUCAAAGUCGAUCAAAGUAUUGACAUAGACCAAUGGGUCUCUCUCCAUAGUAAGUCCUUCGGGGGUGAGCCGGGGAAUCUGGAAUCCAAGGAUCGGUCCAAAUGCACGUUCCAAACCCAGAGACAAUAAUCUUGCGGAUUCCAUAUUUAAAAACGUCUUUGGCGGCCUUUAUUUUAUUUUUUUCUUUGGCGGCCUUUAUUUUAUUUUUGUCAUACGACGGCCUGUUAGAGACAGUGAUCAUAUUGCCUAUGUAGUUUGCUUUUUCUUUA